Molecule: ribosomal RNA, 194 nt
Filed under: Caranx latus (horse-eye jack)
Lineage: Eukaryota; Metazoa; Chordata; Actinopteri; Carangiformes; Carangidae
Description: partial large subunit ribosomal RNA
Source: RNAcentral
AUGGAGACCUGUAUGAAUGGCAUAACGAGGGCUUAACUGUCUCCUCUUUCCAGUCAAUGAAAUUGAUCUCCCCGUGCAGAAGCGGGGAUAAGUACAUAAGACGAGAAGACCCUAUGGAGCUUUAGACACCAAGACAGACCAUGUUAAACACCCCCAAUAAAGGCCCAAACUUAAUGACCACCUGUCCUAAUGUC